This 3696-nucleotide unclassified non-coding RNA is filed under the name Bactrocera latifrons. Its description in RNAcentral is "uncharacterized LOC108970940, transcript variant X3". The record is from RNAcentral. Lineage: Eukaryota; Metazoa; Arthropoda; Insecta; Diptera; Tephritidae.
GUAACAGCAGAUCGUAGAAGUGUCGACAAGACGCAAAGCCAAGAGGCAGCAGAAGUCAGUUAAGCGGCCAACAGCAGCUGGAAUAUGCGAUGGUCGCUGGUCGCUGGUGUACCGUACUAUGUGUGACGUGUUGAUUGAGCGCUCAAUGGUUGGUGUAAGCGACGGCUGCUCAUAGUUUUUCGUCGUUCGUUGGCCUUUGGCCGUUUCUAGGUGGUGUGCUGAUGAAUUCUGCCGUUCAGUUGUUGGAUGGUCGGUUGCCAGCUUGACGUGCUGUGCUGUGGUGCUGUGGUGCUGUGUCGUGUUUGUGAAUUUGAAGUGAACAAGGUACUGAAACGACUGCGCAUUACUAUCAAUAAUUAGCGCAAAAUUAGUGGAAUUACAACAGAAUCAAUAAAAAAGUAACCGAUAAUGGAAACUAAUAUUCUGAAAAUGUUCGACAUUAUUAACUGUUAAUUCUCAAGUAUGCAAAUGUACGUAGAUAAAUAAAUUAAUAUAUAGACAUUUGUUCGAAGUUCGAAAACUGUGCGAUUUUCCGAUUUACACAAAUGAAUUUAAUGAUAGGAUGGAAAAAGGCGAAAAAGUGCUUGUAAUGAGAAUAACAUCUAAAUGUAAAAGUGCGAAAUAAAACUGGAAAUAAACGCAUAUAAUUAAUAACUAAAAAUGUUUGCGAACUACGCAGUUGACCAACUAGCUACGACGUGAGCAUGGAGCUUGGCGAGUGCUCAGCUAUUGUCGUUGGGGAGGAAUUCGCCGAUCAUGCCGUUCAUGGCGAUGGUGUUGACAGUAAUAGAGUGCAGCUCAUAACAAAAACAAAAAAAAAAGCCUGACUUCAGCUCAAAUGCCUUUCCGUGGAGCUUUUGGUGGUUUAUGCUACUGGCGCAAGAAGUGUCAGCGCCGCAAUUGUCGUAUCUUUGUUUCGUCGGUUCGUUAUUUGGACACACGAAAACUAUUCGUUCUACCGAAUUGUUGGUCGCUGUACGAAUGCGCUACCGAAAACCGAGGCGGAUUCGGAAUUUAACGACAACGAGUAAUGUCGCCGAAACUUAAGUUCUUUAAUUGUUAUUAUUAUUGUUAGUGUUGUUGUUGUUGUGGUUGUAGUUGUCGAGAAGGCCAGCCUCGUCGGUAUGGUUGACGACUUUAUAGCGCCACUUGCGCCACUUGAACAACUAAUUUAGGGCGAAAGCAAGAACAACAAGCAGAACAACAAUGACGACAAUAAUAUUCAUAACAACAAUAAAUGAGGCUAAGACAAUAAAGUGAAAAUGUGAACUUUGAAACAAAUGAUUUUUCUAACCAAUUUAAGAGGCCCGAUAUACGCACACACACAUAAAUGUACGUAUAUAUUAAGAAGACGAAACGGNGCGGAGAAGUGGAUUAUAUUUGGAUGAAUUUAGCCACGAGAAUGCAUAUAUUUACAUAUAUUGUUGGUAUAAAAUAGAAGGCAAUGACAAUCUAAAACUGGAUCAAUGACAAUCGUUUUUAUGUGAGAUCGUGCCACGCAACAAACCGCAAGGCAAACAUAAGAGAUUAGGUCUAGAAGUGGACAACUGAAAUGUGCUAUCCUGAUUUAAAUGUUGUCUAAUCUAUAAUAGUAACAUGGUGAUAUGAUGUAUUUCUUAUAUACUUACAUACUUGAAAAUAUCUGCUGGGAAUGCGUUAGUAAAAAAACACGCAAAGAUUUCCUGCUGGGUCUGUGACGACAAUGCGUACAAAUUUAAAUAAUUUGUAAACAUGAUAAUAGAGAGUAUAAAGAAGCUCAACUGCGAUAGCAAGCUCAAAUGCCAAACAACAACAAUAAUAAUAAUAAACAAUCAGAAGAAAUUAAGCAAUCAAAAGUAACACAAUUGUAGUCGAACAAAUAAUAUAGAAAAGGGGAGCGCGGUAGCAGAAACGCCAUCACCACUUUGCAAAUGAAAUGGAAAUUGAAAAGCCCAGACAACGACAAUAACAACGACAGCAACCACUUCAGCGAAAACACUUCCGUCACAAUGAGUACUACGAGCAAAUGAAACUAAAACAGACUUUGCACCAAUUUUCAAUGGCACGAGCGUCGAGAACAUUGAACUAUUUUCCACUUUUUACGCCGUGUAUAUAUUUUUAUGGAAAGUGUUGAGUUAUAUCGACGCCAACCGACUUCUACGCAAAUAUAUGCACCUAUUUAAAAAAGAAUAGAUAUAAACACACGGACCUGCACACAUGCAUGCCCAAAAUCGUGCUUGUAUGAAAACGUAAGCGAUUCUAAGUAAGUGAGCAGCGGAACAGUGAACAGCGAACGAAGUACUCUACAAUCAGAAAUCAACGAGCAGCAACAGUCAGUAACUUACUAGCAACGUCUCGUCUUCCCAAAAAAACAAAAUAAUAAUAUUAUUAAUAAUAAUGAAGAACGACUGAGACUGUCUUUGUUUGUAGCCGAAUGGAAUGGCAUGAAACGGAGCCUGAGACUGGCACGGGAGUGAGUGCACUCUUAUCUGUAAACCACGAUCUACACCGACUCGACACCAAUCCACAUGAAUAUCGAACACUCACACACGCAAUCAGCGAUGACACCGUUUUACGAAUUCGCUUCGCCGCUUUUGCGUUUAUUGAAUGGGAUAAGUACAUCGCCAUAAACAGAUAUUGUAUGGAGCUGCAAGCAAGUAUCCCAAAACGAAAAUAGAAACCGAAAAAACUGGAAAUUUUCAAAAUGAAAACAAACAUUGUGAAAGCAAAGCGCAGCUGAUAAGCUGUAGGUACCCACACUAUGUUCCGUCACCAUCUGCAGCCAGAACAUUCAACGCUCCGGGUCAAUACUCGUGGUAGCGCGCAAUGCUCCUCCGGACAGUUGAUUACCCCAUACCCCAUAAUCGUCGGGGUUUUUAUGCCGUUAUUGUUGUUUUUUCAAAUGGCUGGCAAAAUGGAAAUCCCAACAAAUUGCAGUUUUUGCAAGCAAGACAACCUCACGAAUAUCAACCCUGAGUAUAUUAGAGGAGUUAAGGUUCGUUUAUGCGAAGCAAAUGUGGAUGACAAGUUAAAAUUCUUAAGCUUCAUUUGAUGUGCCUGUUGCUUGUUGGUCUCACUUGUUGCCAUUUAGUGGCUUGGUGUUGUUGUUACUUUCAUGCGGCGGCGCUAUCAUCGAUUGGUAAGCUUAACAUAUACCACACAAACAUAUAUAUUUUUAUAUAUGUAUGUAUUUACACACACUUACAUAUAAAACGACACCUUCCGUCACCCCUUUGCGAGCGUACGCAGAUCUUUUCCGAGCCACUANAGCAACAGCUAUGUGGCGAAAUGAAAAAGCGAAAAAAUACUCAUACUUACACAGACGAACCAAGAAGAAGAAGCGGAAAACGAAAUAAAUAUCUUAGAGCGAAUACCCACACACACAGCCAGCAAGCAUAUCAUCACACACGAACACUAUGCGCUUGUUUUUGUGAUUAUUGUUUGAAUAAGGCACAGUGAAAGAGGCAACAACAGCAAUCAAUAUAUGUUUGAGUACACAUACAGCCGUACACAGCCAGACACACGCACACACACAUUUGGAGCUGUGCUUCUGAACAUUGCGAGUGGUUUUCUUAGCUGUGACAGCCAACAGCCGACAGCCCGCUUCACAAACAAAAAAUAAAUAAAAAUGAAAAUAAAUAACAAAGAAGUCAAAAUAAAGCAGACACCGCCGAAGUAUUUACAUUUUUUCCGCUGAACUUUCUUUCUGCUGCUCAA